RNAcentral lists this ribosomal RNA (254 nucleotides) under uncultured bacterium. RNAcentral's name for it is "partial 16S ribosomal RNA". It matches the Rfam family "Bacterial small subunit ribosomal RNA", at positions 524 to 776 of the family's 1533-position model. The record is from RNAcentral.
UACGUAGGGGGCAAGCGUUGUCCGGAUUUAUUGGGCGUAAAGAGCUCGUAGGCGGCUCAGUAAGUCGGGUGUGAAACCUCCAGGCUCAACCUGGAGACGCCACUCGAUACUGCUGUGGCUUGAGUCCGGUAGGGGAGCACGGAAUUCCUGGUGUAGCGGUGAAAUGCGCAGAUAUCAGGAGGAACACCGGUGGCGAAGGCGGGUCUCUGGGCCGAUACUGACGCUGAGGAGCGAAAGCGUGGGGAGCGAACAGG